Molecule: transfer RNA, 75 nt
Filed under: Hyphomicrobiales bacterium
Lineage: Bacteria; Pseudomonadati; Pseudomonadota; Alphaproteobacteria; Hyphomicrobiales
Also listed under: 11 other names
Description: tRNA-Gln
Rfam family: tRNA
About the family: Transfer RNA (tRNA) molecules are approximately 80 nucleotides in length.
Source: RNAcentral
UGGGGCGUAGCCAAGUGGUAAGGCAGCGGAUUUUGAUUCCGCCAUUCGGAGGUUCGAAUCCUCCCGCCCCAGCCA